This 488-nucleotide ribosomal RNA is filed under the name Yersinia rochesterensis. Its description in RNAcentral is "partial 23S ribosomal RNA". It matches the Rfam family "Bacterial large subunit ribosomal RNA", at positions 1688 to 2157 of the family's 2925-position model. The record is from RNAcentral. Lineage: Bacteria; Pseudomonadati; Pseudomonadota; Gammaproteobacteria; Enterobacterales; Yersiniaceae.
GCUUGAGAGAACUCGGGUGAAGGAACUAGGCAAAAUGGUGCCGUAACUUCGGGAGAAGGCACGCUGGCAUUAGGUAAAGGGACUUGCUCCCGGCGCCGAAGCCAGUCGCAGAUACCAGCUGGCUGCAACUGUUUAAUAAAAACACAGCACUGUGCAAACACGAAAGUGGACGUAUACGGUGUGACGCCUGCCCGGUGCUGGAAGGUUAAUUGAUGGGGUCAGCCGCAAGGCGAAGCUCUUGAUCGAAGCCCCAGUAAACGGCGGCCGUAACUAUAACGGUCCUAAGGUAGCGAAAUUCCUUGUCGGGUAAGUUCCGACCUGCACGAAUGGCGUAAUGAUGGCCAGGCUGUCUCCACCCGAGACUCAGUGAAAUUGAACUCGCUGUGAAGAUGCAGUGUACCCGCGGCAAGACGGAAAGACCCCGUGAACCUUUACUAUAGCUUGACACUGAACAUUGAGCCUUGAUGUGUAGGAUAGGUGGGAGGCAU